This 228-nucleotide ribosomal RNA is filed under the name uncultured bacterium. RNAcentral describes it as "partial 16S ribosomal RNA". It matches the Rfam family "Bacterial small subunit ribosomal RNA", at positions 104 to 334 of the family's 1533-position model. The record is from RNAcentral.
CGGGGUGAGUAAUGUAUGGGGAUCUGCCUGAUGGCGGGGGAUAACUACUGGAAACGGUAGCUAAUACCGCAUAAUGUCUGCGGACCAAAGCGGGGGACCUCCGGGCCUCGCGCCAUCAGAUGAACCAUAUGGGAUUAGCUUGUAGGUAAGGUAACGGCUUACCUAGGCGACGAUCCCUAGCUGGUCUGAGAGGAUGAUCAGCCACACUGGGACUGAGACACGGCCCAG